GAUUAACGCUGGCGGCGUGCCUAACACAUGCAAGUCGAACGAGGUAGCAAUACCUAGUGGCAGACGGGUGAGUAACGCGUGGUCAACCUACCGUUGAGUGGGGGAUAACUAGCCGAAAGGUUAGCUAAUACCGCAUACGUCUCCGAGGGGCAUCCCUUGGCGAUAAAAGGAGUAAUCCGCUCGAUGACGGGACCGCGUCCCAUUAGCUAGAUGGUGGGGUAACGGCCUACCAUGGCACCGANGGGUAGCUGGUUUGAGAGAGCGACCAGCCACACUGGGACUGAGAAACGGCCCAGACUCCUACGGGAGGCAGCAGUGAGGAAUUUUCCGCAAUGGGCGCAAGCCUGACGGAGCGACGCCGCGUGUGGGAAGAAGGCCUUC
Molecule: ribosomal RNA, 381 nt
Filed under: uncultured bacterium
Lineage: Bacteria
Description: bacterial SSU rRNA
Rfam family: Bacterial small subunit ribosomal RNA
Source: RNAcentral